CCAAGACUGGUAGAGGACUGGAGACUUUCCAGAGGCAACCCUGAGAGGGAUGGGCUCUUCCCCAGGAGAGUAAAAUAUAAAAUCAAUGCAGCAUUGACACAUAAACCCUGAAGUAAGAUGUCUUCUUGAAACAUCAGGAGGAAAGGACCUAUUUCCCUUGUUCUUGGCCACCCGGAUUUCCGUCUGGAUGUUCGUGCGAUCGGUCUGAAAUUCAACGCUUUGAACUCCAGAAGGAA
Molecule: long non-coding RNA, 236 nt
Filed under: Ornithorhynchus anatinus (platypus)
Lineage: Eukaryota; Metazoa; Chordata; Mammalia; Monotremata; Ornithorhynchidae
Description: lncRNA (ENSOANG00000041706.1)
Source: RNAcentral